This 250-nucleotide ribosomal RNA is filed under the name uncultured bacterium. RNAcentral describes it as "partial 16S ribosomal RNA". It matches the Rfam family "Bacterial small subunit ribosomal RNA", at positions 524 to 773 of the family's 1533-position model. The record is from RNAcentral.
GACGGAGGGGGCUAGCGUUGUCCGGAUUUACUGGGCGUAAAGGGCGCGUAGGCGGUUCUUUUAGUCGGCGGUGAAAUCUCCCGGCUCAACUGGGAAACUGCCGCCGAUACUGGAGAACUUGAGUUCGGGAGAGGAGAGUGGAAUUCCUGGUGUAGCGGUGAAAUGCGUAGAGAUCAGGAAGAACACCCGUGGCGAAGGCGGCUCUCUGGACCGAUACUGACGCUGAGGCGCGAAAGCUAGGGGAGCGAAC